UCGCCUGUUUAUCAAAAACAUCACCUCUAGCAUCACCAGUAUUAGAGGGCACCGCCUGCCCAGUGACACAUCGCCCUGUUUUACAAAAACAUCUCUUUCUAAUGUAGAAGGUAGGCUCUGCUCAGUGAAUGAUUAAAUAGCCGCAGUAUCUUGACUGUGCUAAGGUAGCAUAAUAAUUUGUUCUAUAAUAGAGGACUGGAAUGAAUGAGUUGACGUUAUUUAAUCUUUUUUUGAAAAAAUUUAGAAUUUGAUAUUCUCGUCAAAAAGUGAGACUUUUUAAAGGGACGAUAAGACCCUAUAAAACUUUACUGAUGAAUUUUUGCAAAUUUUGGAGAGGUAAAGAGUAAAUUGGUUGAGCUGGGGCGGCAUGAAUUAUAUUCUUUUCUGGAAAAAACAAAAUUUUUGGAUUUAAAGAUCUUGGAUAAAGAUUUAGAAUAAGUUACUUUAGGGAUAACAGCAUAAUUUUUUCGUAUAGAUCUUAUAGAUGAAAAAGACUUAUGACCUCGAUGUUGAAUUGAGGGGCUUUCUUUAAGCAGCAGUAAAGAAAAGGGGUCUGUUCGACCUUUGAUUCCUCACGUGAUCUGAUUUCAGACCGGAAGCCGCUAUUAAAGGUUCGUUUGUUCAACGAUUAAAGUCCUACGUGAUCUGAGUUCAGACCGGA
Molecule: ribosomal RNA, 661 nt
Filed under: Munneurycope nodifrons
Lineage: Eukaryota; Metazoa; Arthropoda; Malacostraca; Isopoda; Munnopsidae
Description: partial 16S ribosomal RNA
Rfam family: Bacterial large subunit ribosomal RNA
Source: RNAcentral